UACGUAGGUCCCGAGCGUUGUCCGGAUUUAUUGGGCGUAAAGCGAGCGCAGGUGGUUUAUUAAGUCUGGUGUAAAAGGCAGUGGCUCAACCAUUGUAUGCAUUGGAAACUGGUAGACUUGAGUGCAGGAGAGGAGAGUGGAAUUCCAUGUGAGCGGUGAAAUGCGUAGAUAUAUGGAGGAACACCGGUGGCGAAAGCGGCUCUCUGGCCUGUAACUGACACUGAGGCUCGAAAGCGUGGGGAGCAAACAGG
RNAcentral lists this ribosomal RNA (251 nucleotides) under uncultured bacterium. RNAcentral describes it as "partial 16S ribosomal RNA". It matches the Rfam family "Bacterial small subunit ribosomal RNA", at positions 524 to 776 of the family's 1533-position model. The record is from RNAcentral.